This 441-nucleotide ribosomal RNA is filed under the name uncultured bacterium. Its description in RNAcentral is "bacterial SSU rRNA". It matches the Rfam family "Bacterial small subunit ribosomal RNA", at positions 340 to 774 of the family's 1533-position model. The record is from RNAcentral.
UACGGGAAGGCAGCAGUGGGGAAUAUUGCACAAUGGGCGCAAGCCUGAUGCAGCCAUGCCGCGUGUAUGAAGAAGGCCUUCGGGUUGUAAAGUACUUUCAGUCGUGAGGAAGGUGUUAAGGUUAAUAACCUUAGCAAUUGACGUUAGCGACAGAAGAAGCACCGGCUAACUCCGUGCCAGCAGCCGCGGUAAUACGGAGGGUGCGAGCGUUAAUCGGAAUUACUGGGCGUAAAGGGCACGCAGGCGGUUAAUUAAGUUGGAUGUGAAAUCCCCGGGCUUAACCUGGGAAUGGCAUUCAAGACUGGUUAGCUAGAGUCUUGUAGAGGGGGUAGAAUUCCAUGUGUAGCGGUGAAAUGCGUAGAGAUGUGGAGGAUACCGGUGGCGAAGGCGGCCCCUGGGACAAAGGCUGACGCUCAUGUGCGAAAGCGUGGGGAGCGAAAC